AGAAUCAACGCUGGCGGCGCGCCUAACACAUGCAAGUCGAACGAGAAAGUGGAGCAAUCCAUGAGUACAGUGGCGUACGGGUGAGUAACACGUGGGUAAUCUACCCUUUGGUGGGGAAUAACUUUGGGAAACCGAAGCUAAUACCGCAUAAUCCUGAGAAGGAAAAGCAGCAAUGCGCCGAAGGAGGAGCCCGCGGCCGAUUAGCUAGUUGGUAGGGUAAUGGCCUACCAAGGCAAAGAUCGGUAGCCGGCCUGAGAGGGCACACGGCCACACUGGCACUGAAACACGGGCCAGACUCCUACGGGAGGCAGCAGUGGGGAAUCUUGCACAAUGGGGGAAACCCUGAUGCAGCGACGCCGCGUGAGCGAUGAAGCCCUUCGGGGUGUAAAGCUCUUUCGGCAGGGAAGAUUAUGACGGUACCUGCAGAAGCAGCUGCGGCUAACUCGCGCCAGCAGCCGC
This 459-nucleotide ribosomal RNA is filed under the name uncultured bacterium. Its description in RNAcentral is "SSU rRNA". It matches the Rfam family "Bacterial small subunit ribosomal RNA", at positions 26 to 518 of the family's 1533-position model. The record is from RNAcentral.